GAAUAAUCUUAUUUCAUAUUAAAACUUUGGAUAACUGGCACAGCAAGAAUGUUUCAAAAAUUCCAUUUCCCUUAAUUGCUUCUCAUUUGGUGCUUUUGUUAUCAGAUGGGUAUUCCAGACAAUGAGGCUCCCUCAGGUAGUGGCUGCAGUUGGCAUAUAAAUGGCAUCCUUGCCAGAUCAGCCCCAAUCUGCUGUCUGUGUGUUUCAUAGGGAAACCAGCUCUGUGCCUGCCUGCACAGUUCAGGUUGAAGCAGGACUACUGACGUAGAAGCCAUGGCAGACUUCUGCCCGGGGCGUGGAAUGAGUACAUUCUUCCCUGUCAAGUCCUGGGAAUUAUUUUCCACCAUGAGCACAGUGCUCUUUUUAGCUUUGCAUCACUGAGUAACUGUCAGGAGACAAGCGCUAUGACAAGAAAAAUCCAUCCUUAAAACCGUCUGUUUAUUUGUACCCAAAGACAUGUUGUUGAGGUUAGAGGUUGGUGUAAAAUCUUCUGAUAUAUAGGUGCAUAUACAUACAUACACACACAGACACAUGCACAAGCUAGAAAAGUUCUUGCUUACUAAUUUAAAGAAGACUAUAACUAUAUUUACAUUAGGGUCUAACAUAGGGACUUAUUUCUUUUAACAAAUAUAGGCUGGAUAAGAAUUAUAACUAAGUUGGUAAUGCAACUCUAAUUGAGGGAAUUAAAUUAUUAUACCUAAUAAAAAUCACAGCACUCAUUUUUACUUUAUCCAUAGUAACUACAAUGGGAGGGAUAGAGUGGGAAUUUUUUUAUUUAUGAAUGAAUAUAUUUGCAUGGAUUACAAGUUGAGAAAUAACUCCAAUUUGAUGUUAAAUAUCAAUGAAAACAACCAUAAAGGUUUCACAAAAGUGUGCUAGAAUUAAUGAACUUGAAAAAUAAUUCAACUAAUCAGCAGUUUGAUGGGUUUAGAGCAAAAAUUAGAGAAAUGGAAGAAAGGGUAAAACUAUUGGAAAAACACAGUAGGGAAUGUAAGUAGAGUGUGAAAACUGCUGCGGAACAGAUUGCUGUUAUAAUUAGAGACAAUAUUUCACUCUCCUUUAAAUACAAGUCCCUGGAAAUUGCUCUGAGUGAAAGAGGGGGAGGCACAGCUGUUUGAGUGUACAGCUGGUGGGAAUGACAAAGACUAUAGUCAGACGUAAACCAGUUAAAAAAAUAGACUAGCUAAGUAACAGUAACACCUGGCUUGAGCAUAAUGACAAAUAUGCAUUAUUCUUAAGGAAAUAAAACAUAGAGGGUUUUUAUGGAGAAUACAAAAAUUUCUACCUGGUAAUAAAUAUGUUUCAUGCAUAUAAGAAUCUCUACAACUAGUGGCUCACGCCUGUAAUCCCAGCACUUUGGGAGGCCAAGGCGGGUGGAUCACCUGAGGUCAGCAGUUCGAGACCAGCCUGG
Molecule: long non-coding RNA, 1411 nt
Filed under: Homo sapiens (human)
Lineage: Eukaryota; Metazoa; Chordata; Mammalia; Primates; Hominidae
Description: HSALNT0205202
Source: RNAcentral